Oryzias melastigma (Indian medaka) is the source of this 451-nucleotide long non-coding RNA. RefSeq lists it as uncharacterized. Lineage: Eukaryota; Metazoa; Chordata; Actinopteri; Beloniformes; Adrianichthyidae. The transcript has 2 exons. The record is from RefSeq and is a predicted model, not a curated record.
UCCCAAUCCGCUGGAUUGUAACGAUCUGGAGAGGCCAUUAGGGAGCUCGUAGAGGAAAAACCAAAACACUGAAGGAAACUCAAGAACGCGAUCCCAAAAGGUGGUGCUGGGGCAUCGAGGAACAGAUCACAAUCGUGAGAAAAGCAUGAACUCCAUAGGGGGACGCUUGCCUGGAAGAUGAAUAGUUAAAAGAAUGAAAAACGGCUGUGUGCGUUUGACUUUAAGCACCUCUCAUACCACCAUAAAGGUUGCUACAUGCCAGGUUCAAGCAAAGUGUCACUCUCUUAUUCUCUAAUGUAAAACACACUCAGCGGGUUUUGCCAGUCUACUAAACAUUACGGCGCUGACAGACCUGCCGUUGGGAGAUUUUCAACUUGCAUUAAAAAAAAAAAAAAAAAAUUCAAAAGGGUUAGACACAAUAAAGUGACUGGACGUCUGUAAGAAAAGAACA